AUGCAGUCGAGCGACUGAUUAGAAGCUUGCUUCUAUGACGUUAGCGGCGGACGGGUGAGUAACACGUGGGCAACCUGCCUGUAAGACUGGGAUAACUUCGGGAAACCGAAGCUAAUACCGGAUAGGAUCUUCUCCUUCAUGGGAGAUGAUUGAAAGAUGGUUUCGGCUAUCACUUACAGAUGGGCCCGCGGUGCAUUAGCUAGUUGGUGAGGUAACGGCUCACCAAGGCAACGAUGCAUAGCCGACCUGAGAGGGUGAUCGGCCACACUGGGACUGAGACACGGCCCAGACUCCUACGGGAGGCAGCAGUAGGGAAUCUUCCGCAAUGGACGAAAGUCUGACGGAGCAACGCCGCGUGAGUGAUGAAGGCUUUCGGGUCGUAAAACUCUGUUGUUAGGGAAGAACAAGUACAAGAGUAACUGCUUGUACCUUGACGGUACCUAACCAGAAAGCCACGGCUAACUACGUGCCAGCAGCCGCGGUAAUACGUAGGUGGCAAGCGUUAUCCGGAAUUAUUGGGCGUAAAGCGCGCGCAGGCGGUUUCUUAAGUCUGAUGUGAAAGCCCACGGCUCAACCGUGGAGGGUCAUUGGAAACUGGGGAACUUGAGUGCA
RNAcentral lists this ribosomal RNA (612 nucleotides) under Priestia megaterium. RNAcentral's name for it is "bacterial SSU rRNA". It matches the Rfam family "Bacterial small subunit ribosomal RNA", at positions 55 to 650 of the family's 1533-position model. Lineage: Bacteria; Bacillati; Bacillota; Bacilli; Caryophanales; Bacillaceae. The record is from RNAcentral.